UACGUAGGGUCCGAGCGUUUUCCGGAAUUAUUGGGCGUAAAGGGCUCGUAGGCGGUCUGUUGCGUCUGGAGGGAAAACUUACAGCUUAACUGUGAGCGUGCUUCCGAUACGGGCAGACUUGAGGUAUUCAGGGGAGAACGGAAUUCCUGGUGUAGCGGUGAAAUGCGCAGAUAUCAGGAGGAACACCGGUGGCGAAGGCGGUUCUCUGGGAAUAUCCUGACGCUGAGGAGCGAAAGUGUGGGGAGCGAACAGG
This 253-nucleotide ribosomal RNA is filed under the name uncultured bacterium. Its description in RNAcentral is "partial 16S ribosomal RNA". It matches the Rfam family "Bacterial small subunit ribosomal RNA", at positions 524 to 776 of the family's 1533-position model. The record is from RNAcentral.